RNAcentral lists this ribosomal RNA (497 nucleotides) under uncultured bacterium. RNAcentral's name for it is "partial 16S ribosomal RNA". It matches the Rfam family "Bacterial small subunit ribosomal RNA", at positions 28 to 507 of the family's 1533-position model. The record is from RNAcentral.
GAUGAACGCUGGCGGCGUGCCUAAUACAUGCAAGUCGAGCGAACAGACGAGGAGCUUGCUCCUCUGACGUUAGCGGCGGACGGGUGAGUAACACGUGGAUAACCUACCUAUAAGACUGGGAUAACUUCGGGAAACCGGAGCUAAUACCGGAUAAUAUAUUGAACCGCAUGGUUCAACAGUGAAAGACGGUUUUGCUGUCACUUAUAGAUGGAUACGCGUCGCAUUAGCAAGUUGGUAAGGUAACGGCUUACCAAGGCAACGAUGCGUAGCCGACCUGAGAGGGUGAUCGGCCAGCCUGGAACUGAGACACGGUCCAGACUCCUACGGGAGGCAGCAGUAGGGAAUCUUCCGCAAUGGGCGAAAGCCUGACGGAGCAACGCCGCGUGAGUGAUGAAGGUCUUCGGAUCGUAAAACUCUGUUAUUAGGGAAGAACAAAUGUGUAAGUAACUAUGCACGUCUUGACGGUACCUAAUCAGAAAGCCACGGCUAACUACGUG